AGGCAGUGUGUUGUUAGCUGGCUGC
This 25-nucleotide non-coding RNA is filed under the name Callithrix jacchus (white-tufted-ear marmoset). RNAcentral also lists the same sequence under 2 other names. The record is from RNAcentral. Lineage: Eukaryota; Metazoa; Chordata; Mammalia; Primates; Cebidae.